Molecule: long non-coding RNA, 772 nt
Organism: Meriones unguiculatus (Mongolian gerbil)
Lineage: Eukaryota; Metazoa; Chordata; Mammalia; Rodentia; Muridae
Exons: 3
Source: RefSeq, a predicted model, not a curated record
CAUCUCGACAGUGCUGGUGACAUUGCUUCUGGGCAUAACAAGAGUCAUUUCCUCGAACUCUGGUGCAGUUGAGUACGCUUUCAGGAGAAGUCAAAGAGCUGCUUCCUAGGAAACAAUGCUAGCAUGUCAGCUGGCUCGGCUCCUCCAAAGCCCGGAGCCAAGUUCUGCACUGCAUAAUUUUCGCAAUCAAAUUUUAAAGACUAGUAUUGUCGUUUCAUUUUGAUUUGCAAAACUGCCUAAAAAGAUAUUACACAGCUAACCAUAUUUAUGAAGAUUUCCCCCAAAAAAUAAAAAGGUCCCUGAAGGCAAUGACAUCAGAAACAGACACCACGUCACAAGUAUUCAUCUGUGUUGUGAAUGUGUCUGCAACCAUGGCAUGGAAGGAUCCUAAAGGUCUGAAUAAAAUCUGCACUAGGUACAAAGAUUUUUACAGAAUAUGUUACCCCGUCAGGAUCCAUAGCAUGAAAUCGUAAGUGCCCAAGUCCAUGGACGCUGCAUGUGUGCACACCUUGUGCAGCCAUCCCACCAUCAACUGCUAGCCUGUCUUCACGCCUGCAGAAGGCCGUCCUUCUGCACGUGCUUCCUUCCCCAGCCUCAGGCAGCUACACAUCCACUCCUGGUCUUCGGAGACUGGCUGGUUCUGGAAACUUCCAAUAAAUGAAAUCAACAGACGUUGACCCACGGUGCCUGGCUUCCCUUAUCUAGCAUGUUUCCAAGACUCUGUAUAUUGAUAUUUCACCUUUUGUAGCGGGAUUACAUUUUGCUGCAUCAA